CAGAGUAAGGCAGCAGGCUUUUACCUCCCGGCUGUCGUCCCGUGCAUUCCACCCCCUUCCCUCUUGUGUAGUGACCCUUCAUUGUCCUCCCCCACCCCAACUGUUUCCUUUUAGACUGAGGAGGGCAAGGAGGCAGCCCCGGAGAACGAAGCGCCCCCAUCGGGCAGCAGUGCCCCACAGGAGAAUGGCGCAGGGGCGCUUGUGCCGUCACAGGGCAAAGGUGAUCAAAGCUUCAAUGACAGUGAAAUCGAAGAGACAAAUUGAAUCGCACAAGUUGACCUUCCGUGAGAACGCCAAGGCACGCACGGACCACGGGGCAGAUUUUGCGGCCUGCACCGGCAGCCCCUCCUCCUCCUCCCCACCACCACUGAGCACCUCUGUCAGCGAGAGCCUGGGCACCAACACCAACACCGCCAUGUCCUCCUUGCCCCCGCGGCUGCCCUGGCAGGCUCCCCUCGCGGAAGAGACUUCUGCUGCGCUCUCUCGGCCAGGCUUGUGACUCACUUUCCUGCCCCGUUUCCUACCCCCCACCCCAAAUGUCCCCCCCCCCCAGAAUCUCAGCUUGCCUCCCUUAAUCCGUCACCGCCCACCUGCUCGGACUUCGGUGGGGCUGCAGUUAAAUAGUUUGCCAGUUGAACCUUUACGCGAUUCCUGGACUCGAUGGGAUGGGGAGACCUUCUGGACAGGGAGUCCUCCUCCCCCUCAGGCCUCCCCAGUCUCAUUUCAAAUCCUUGCUUAUUUGAAUGCCGGGAUCGAAGUGCAAAUUGCGAAUUGAGCACACAAAUAUUGGAUCCUUCUUAGUGAGCCGCGUGGAAAACCCAGCUCAAGACAACGAGAAAGGGGUUCAAAGGCUGAUGAGAGUUAAGGGGGGCAAGCUUUCUUCCUUUCUCUUUCCAACUUUCUUCCAUCCCGUGGGUCUCCUCUGCACCCCGUUUAGCGCUCUCACAUAUAACGUCAUGCUCAUUAGCAACCCCCGCAAACAACGCCUAACCUUUUAAUUUUCUCGUUCUUCCCCUUGUGCCCCAACGGAGCAGUAUGGCCGUGCCGAGCGUGAUCCCUGUGGCUUCCCCGCCAGCUCCCGCUUCUCUCCCCGCUCAUCCACACCGCCUUUCCCCUGCGCCAUAGGAGAAUUAAAACAAAAACAAAAAAAACCCCCGCACCAUUAUCUAUCUGCUGUUGCAGCGCUGUUGGCUUUGUUAUCCACAUAUCCUGCCAUUUUAAACCGUGUUCUGUUUUUGUUUUCUUUUCUUUCUUUCUUUCUUUUUUCUUUUCUUUGGUGUGGUGGUUCUUUUGCGUGUGUGUUUCAAAAUAUUUGGAGAACGAUGGAGCCAAGGGACUCAAAAGCCACCUCCCCCCGGGGGUGUGUGGGAUGGAUAGUGGAGAUGAAAGUGGACAGGCGAGCAAGUGGGAAGAUGGGCGCUGUACGAGAAAACGGAUGAUGUAGAGCUGGGUCUUUGCAAAAAAUGGCUUCCUGGUGGGCAUUGAAAGUCGGCCACUCCUGCACAAAUACUGGGUGGGUUUCCUUUGAGAUACCCCUGCCUUUGCAGGUGGUUUCCAAAAAAAUGAAACACCAGGAAUCUUGAGCGGUCCAUAUUGAGGAUCUGUUCCGGAGAUUUUGCGACCACCAAGGGACACUGACAUGCACUGGAAUGUCGGAGAAAAAAUUGGGUAGGGAGACAGAGAAAGUGUUUGAAGAUCCGAAAACGCCGGGCUGUGCAGGAUGGGAAUCGGGUCCCUCUGGCUUUGAGUCUCGCGAGGAGCUCCCUGUCUGCGUUCCGUCUUCCACACUGCAAACGACACUAAAAACGAAAGAGUUGUAAAUAAAAUUUAAAAACAACCUGUGGAAUUUUGCUUUCGAACUGCGGGGAACAAGAAGGAGGUUCUUCAAGCAAGCCGGGCGGGGUGAUUGCGGGGGUAUAUGGGGGAAUUUACGUCGGAAGGCGUUGGACGGGAACUGUGUAAAAAUAAUUUUAAAAAAUAAAUAACCUUAUUCUCUUUCCUACCGGGGUCCGGAUGCUCCUUUGGGGGCUCUUUUCCGAGUAGACCGCGGUUUGCAUCUUCCCACCGAGAAUUCUUGCGCUCGUGAUUGUUUUAUAUAUAUAAAUAUAUCUAUUAAAAGUUGCAUGGUUUCUAAUAAAAUAGCUUUUCAAACUGUU
This is a long non-coding RNA of Pseudonaja textilis, 2156 nucleotides long. The record is from Ensembl. NCBI's taxonomy places the organism in Eukaryota, Metazoa, Chordata, Lepidosauria, Squamata, Elapidae.